RNAcentral lists this ribosomal RNA (253 nucleotides) under uncultured bacterium. RNAcentral describes it as "partial 16S ribosomal RNA". It matches the Rfam family "Bacterial small subunit ribosomal RNA", at positions 524 to 776 of the family's 1533-position model. The record is from RNAcentral.
UACAGAGGUGGCAAGCGUUGUUCGGAAUUACUGGGCGUAAAGGGCGCGUAGGCGGCCUUCUAAGUCAGACGUGAAGUCCCCUGGCUUAACCUGGGAACUGCGUCUGAUACUGGGAGGCUAGAGUGCGGGAGAGGGAUGCGGAAUUCCAGGUGUAGCGGUGAAAUGCGUAGAUAUCUGGAGGAACACCGGUGGCGAAGGCGGCCCCCUGGACCGGUACUGACGCUGAGGCGCGAAAGCGUGGGGAGCGAUCCGG